CGGCGGACGGGUGAGUAACACGUGGAUAACCUACCUAUAAGACUGGGAUAACUUCGGGAAACCGGAGCUAAUACCGGAUAAUAUAUUGAACCGCAUGGUUCAAUAGUGAAAGACGGUUUUGCUGUCACUUAUAGAUGGAUCCGCGCCGCAUUAGCUAGUUGGUAAGGUAACGGCUUACCAAGGCAACGAUGCGUAGCCGACCUGAGAGGGUGAUCGGCCACACCGGAACUGAGACACGGUCCAG
Molecule: ribosomal RNA, 244 nt
Filed under: uncultured Staphylococcus sp.
Lineage: Bacteria; Bacillati; Bacillota; Bacilli; Caryophanales; Staphylococcaceae
Description: partial 16S ribosomal RNA
Rfam family: Bacterial small subunit ribosomal RNA
Source: RNAcentral